Molecule: transfer RNA, 544 nt
Filed under: uncultured Prochlorococcus sp.
Lineage: Bacteria; Bacillati; Cyanobacteriota; Cyanophyceae; Synechococcales; Prochlorococcaceae
Description: partial 16S-23S ribosomal RNA intergenic spacer
Rfam family: tRNA (bases 212-284)
Source: RNAcentral
CAGGGAGACAACAAAAUGUUUAAUAUUAUUAUUUUGUCACCUUAGGUCGAUCGGUAUCUCACGUUCUUAAUUUAUUAAGGAUUUCAUUUCCUAAGUUUUUCUAGGUCACACCCAUUAUUUUUCCUGGGCCAUUAGCUCAGGUGGUUAGAGCGCACCCCUGAUAAGGGUGAGGUCCCUGGUUCAAGUCCAGGAUGGCCCAUAUCUCUAUGUUGGGGGUAUAGCUCAGUUGGUAGAGCGCCUGCUUUGCAAGCAGGAUGUCAGCGGUUCGAGUCCGCUUACCUCCACUGAUUACCACCUCUUACAUAAUCUGUAGAAAGGGAAUUUUUUGAGUCGUGACCAAAUUCUGAAAGAAUCUAGCUUCCUAAUGAAAUCAUUAAGAUGCUGGACUCAUUGAAUUAAUUUCAUUGUUUUCAGAGAACCUUGACAACUGCAUAGAUUAUUUUUUUUAAAGACAAUAAGCAUCUUUAAUGAUGCAGAUUUAUUAUUUGUGCGAAUGCAUUAAUAACAAUUCUAUUAAGCUGAUGCUUCAAUUUUUGAAGUUAUU